Molecule: ribosomal RNA, 254 nt
Filed under: uncultured bacterium
Lineage: Bacteria
Description: partial 16S ribosomal RNA
Rfam family: Bacterial small subunit ribosomal RNA
Source: RNAcentral
UACGGGGGGAGCAAGCGUUGUUCGGAUUUACUGGGCGUAAAGGGCGCGUAGGCGGUCGUGACAAGUCACUUGUGAAAUCUCCGGGCUUAACUCGGAACGGUCAAGUGAUACUGUCGGACUAGAGUACAGAAGGGGCAACUGGAAUUCUCGGUGUAGCGGUGAAAUGCGCAGAUAUCAGGAGGAACACCGGUGGCGAAGGCGGAUCUCUGGGCCUUACCUGACGCUCAGGCGCGAAAGCUAGGGGAGCGAACUGG